GACCGAGCGAUGCCGCGUGAGCGAUGACGGUCUUCGGAUUGUAUAGCUCUGUUGUUAGGGAAGAAUACUAGAGGUACGAAAUGAUAUAUGGAUGACGGUACCUAACUACGAAGGCCCCGGCUAACUGUCUGCCAGCCGCCGCGGUAAU
Molecule: ribosomal RNA, 148 nt
Filed under: uncultured bacterium
Lineage: Bacteria
Description: partial 16S ribosomal RNA
Rfam family: Bacterial small subunit ribosomal RNA
Source: RNAcentral